UACGUAGGUGGCAAGCGUUGUCCGGAAUUAUUGGGCGUAAAGCGCGCGCAGGCGGUCCUUUAAGUCUGAUGUGAAAGCCCACGGCUCAACCGUGGAGGGUCAUUGGAAACUGGGGACUUGAGUGCAGGAGAGAAGAGUGGAAUUCCACGUGUAGCGGUGAAAUGCGUAGAGAUGUGGAGGAACACCAGUGGCGAAGGCGGCUCACUGGCUCGUAACUGACGCUCAUGCACGGACAGCGUGGGAUCA
RNAcentral lists this ribosomal RNA (246 nucleotides) under uncultured bacterium. Its description in RNAcentral is "partial 16S ribosomal RNA". It matches the Rfam family "Bacterial small subunit ribosomal RNA", at positions 524 to 770 of the family's 1533-position model. The record is from RNAcentral.